GGAAGGGGUGUAUUUAUUAGAUAAUCUGUGCUCCUUCUUCGAGCUCCUUGGUGAUUCAUAAUAACUUAACGAAUCGCAUGGCCUUGCGCCGGCGAUGGUUCAUUCAAAUUUCUGCCCUAUCAACUUUCGAUGGUAGGAUAGUGGCCUACCAUGGUGGCAACGGGUAACGGGGAAUUAGGGUUCGAUUCCGGAGAGGGAGCCUGAGAAACGGCUACCACAUCCAAGGAAGGCAGCAGGCGCGCAAAUUACCCAAUCCCGACACGGGGAGGUAGUGACAAUAAAUACUGAUACGGGGCUCUUUUGGGUCUCGUAAUUGGAAUGAGUACAAUCUAAAUCCCUUAACGAGGAACAAUUGGAGGGCAAGUCUGGUGCCAGCAGCCGCGGUAAUUCCAGCUCCAAUAGCGUAUAUUAAAGUUGUUGCAGUUAAAAAGCUCGUAGUUGAACCUUGGGUCUGGCUGGCCGGUCCGCCUCACCGCGAGUACUGGUCCGGCUGGACCUUUCCUUCUGGGGAACCUCAUGGCCUUCACUGGCUGUGGGGGGAACCAGGGACUUUUACA
This 557-nucleotide ribosomal RNA is filed under the name Aspergillus sp. FNA1. RNAcentral describes it as "SSU rRNA". It matches the Rfam family "Eukaryotic small subunit ribosomal RNA", at positions 194 to 756 of the family's 1831-position model. Lineage: Eukaryota; Fungi; Ascomycota; Eurotiomycetes; Eurotiales; Aspergillaceae. The record is from RNAcentral.